RNAcentral lists this ribosomal RNA (484 nucleotides) under uncultured bacterium. Its description in RNAcentral is "partial 16S ribosomal RNA". It matches the Rfam family "Bacterial small subunit ribosomal RNA", at positions 28 to 507 of the family's 1533-position model. The record is from RNAcentral.
GUUGAACGCUGGCGGCAUGCCUAACACAUGCAAGUCGAGCGGAUGGAGGAAGCUUGCUCCUGGAUUCAGCGGCGGACGGGUGAGUAAUGCCUAGGAGUCUGCCUGGUAUAGGGGGAUAACGUCCGGAAACGGGCGCUAAUACCGCAUACGUCCUGAGGGAGAAAGGGGGGGAUCUUCGGACCUCGCGCUAUCAGAUGAGACUAAGUCGGAUUAGCUAGUUGGUGGGGUAAAGGCCUACCAAGGCGACGAUCCGUAACCGCUCUGAGAGGAUGAUCAGUCACACUGGAACUGAGACACGGUCCAGACUCCUACGGGAGGCAGCAGUGGGGAAUAUUGCACAAUGGGCGAAAGCCUGAUCCAGCCAUGCCGCGUGUGUGAAGAAGGUCUUCGGAUUGUAAAGCACUUUAAGUUGGGAGGAAGGGCAGUAAGUUAAUACCUUGCUGUUUUGACGUUACCAACAGAAAAAGCACCGGCUAACUUCGUG